RNAcentral lists this long non-coding RNA (2681 nucleotides) under Homo sapiens (human). Its description in RNAcentral is "HSALNT0036174". The record is from RNAcentral. Lineage: Eukaryota; Metazoa; Chordata; Mammalia; Primates; Hominidae.
CAAGCUUCAAAACUCUCUGAGGACAGCUUUCCCCUUUGUGUCUGUCGGGUCCCAGGCAGUCACAUCCCAGGAAGUGCUGGGGUUGGGCUCCUUGCUCCACAUCCUUCUUCAGUGGCACGAAGCGUGGGGUGGAGUGUGUGAGUCAUGUGUGAUCUUGGUGUGGGCUAUGGCUGGUCUGCAGCACCCCUUCAAUGACUGCUUCAAGGGCUUUUCAUGAUGCUUGUAGCUCAUGAGCUAGUGUUUCCUAGAUGCUGUUUCCAGGUGUCUUGCAUGUCACACACUGGCCUACCAGGGCUGGAGUGAGAUCAUGAGCGCCAGAUUGUUGGUGAAGGAAGUUGACAGAGACAUCGAAUGUCGGUGAACAGGAGUGACCUUGGGUCUCAAUAAAUACUGUGGUCAACUGAAUCCAGAACCCACCCUUACCAGCAGGGCCCACUUCUUCCCCAGCAGGCCGAGCUCUUCCCCUCCUGUCUUCCCUGGCCCUUGCUUUGUAGCUCUGUGUGGCUGUGUCAUGUCUGGUUGUAUCUGUAUAUACUUCUGCCUCUCCCGCUAUCUAGAUGGCUCGGGGAGGCACACCACACACCAGGUCACCUUCCUCUCUGAACCCCCAGCACCUCAUACUGUUUCUGUGCAGAGAUAAGGCUGGGUGAAAGCUUGUGUGAAUGAUCUGAAGUCUUCUACUCUAGGCCAGUCUCCAGGAGCAUUAUGAUCUUUAGGAGGGUGGGCUUGGUUCCUCUGUACAAUAAUGGGUCAUAAAACUGAGUGGUCAAGAUCAUCCCGGUGAGGGCAGUCCGUGUGUUGCCAUAGUUGCUGUACCGGUUAAGAAUGCACCUGGCUGCAAUUUCCUGAAAACCUGACGUAUAGUGGCUUAAACAAAGAGUGGUUUAUUUUCCUUCUGUCAUAGCAAUCUGGGGGAGGCCACUGUGGCUUUGGCGCAGGAGGUCGGGAAAGGCCCGCUUCUCUGAUAUCAUUGGGGGCCUCCCCAGUGCUUGUGUGGCAGAAUGACAAGAGGAAGAAGAAGGAGAAUUAUGGCACUGAGUAUCAUGAGAUUUGGGGUCAUAUAUCUUUAGUGGGCGGUGUUUGCUGCCCCAAAUGUCUCAUGCCAUUAAAAUGUUCUGGAAAUGAUUUAGGUAGUUGGAGUUUCCUUCCCAAAGACAAGGCAUUUACAGCAUGAUGUCCAAUAUCCAUUGAGUUUGUGUCAUGCAUUCAUUGUAUUCAUAGUCUGCUUUAGGUACUUAGCAAAAUAUUGCUGAUAUUAACAUGCCUUUGUUUGCUUCACUGGAGAUGAAAUUGUGCUCCAAGUGUUUUCCAAGGUUCCGUAUGACCCAUCAUUUGAUGAAACAAGAACAGCAGUCAGAUCCAUUACAAAGAGAGACACACAAAAAAGCAAGUAUAUGUCGUUAACCUGACAUGUGUACAUACCUCUACAGACCUCUGUGUUAUCUCAAAUAUGCGAUGCUAGCAUUUUAGCAUUCCUUAAAUUAACUACUGUGGUGGAGGGGGUGCAAAGCCAAACUGAGAUGUGAAGAACUCUCUGAAAUCCCCUCUACAGUCUUCCUCCCAAUAUGGGAGUCUAUAGGCUUCAGUGUGAAUAUCCCUGUAUUUUGGGGUGAUCCCUGACGUGCAGUGUCAGGCAUGUUCUGCCACUCUGGAGGCUGUGCAGAGGACAGAAACCCGGUUUGCAAGUGGGGUUCACUGUUCCUUGUAACAGGAGCUAUGAGAAGUGUAAUCACUUUCUGUUCACCAGCGCUUUAUAGGUCACUGCCCAGGAGUGCCCAAGUCACCGGCUUGGGAGAGUAAUGUCUUCCUGCGUCCCUCCCUGUCACCUCUGCCAUCAUUCCACCUCAUCCUCUGUAAAAUAUUUGCCCAGAGAAGCAGAGCUGAUUUCUCUUCCAGCACUGAUGCUCCAGUGCCAAUGCUGAGAGGAAGCAGCUGGCCACAUAUGCAAAAAUAAUGCAUAUUAACCCCAAAUCACAUGAAGAAAAGAGAAACCUUGUAAGGUGGACAUCAUGUGAAUUAGGAAGAAAAGUAACAAUGAGUAAUUAGUUAUCAGAAUAAGCCAGCUAUGUGUGCCAGGAAUUAUAAGACUCUCAGUAAAGCAAUUUAGUAACUAAUCACUCUGCCAAUGCAUUCCAUAAGCCAUUGAGAAAACAUAUGAAUAUUUCACUGCAUAAUCUCAAUAGCUUGCCCUGCACCAUGUUUUAUGAUGCUCCCUUGGCAGAUACAUUUUGAGGAACACAUUUUUAGCAAAGUGCUUGCAUGAUUAAGUAUGUCUAUUCUUAAUGAUUUAUCAGUGUCUUAUUAACAGAGAACUGUGCAUUGUCAUUUAUUGGAUCAAAGUGGUUGUACUUGAAAUCAUUUGCCAUACACCAUGUAGGCCUUUCUACCCGUUUUCCUGUAGCAUUAAACCUGCCAUGUGCACAAAUCUCUCAAUGCUUAUGCAUAUUGUCUGUCAACAGACUAUGUGAAAAUGAGCUUAGCCCCUGGUGUUGUGUUGGAACUUCAGAUGCUUGCAGACACUUCAUGAAUGCUCUGUGACACUCAGAAUAGGCUAUUCCCAACAGAAGAGCUUGAACAAUGCUGCAUUUGCAUCAGGUUCAAAUGAGCGAGAGGAACAUUUGGCUAAAAUAUUUGGAACCAGCAUUGCUUGGAAUUCUCCUAAACCAGAAUAUUUCCUUGGC